UCCAGCAUCUCCUCAUUCAGGUCCCUCCCUCGCCCGCCUCCGGUCUCCUCUCCAGCAUCUCAACACUCAGGAUCCCCCCAGGUGUCCCCUCGGCGUGUCCCCACUCGGGUCCCCCCCCUCCCCAGGUCUCCUCUCCAGCGUCCCCGUUUUCAGCCCCCCCCAACGUCUCCCUUCAGCAUCUCCUCAGGUCUCCCCCCCUCCCUCCCCCCCAGGACUCCUCACCAGCGUCUCCCCCUAGGUUCCUUGCCCUGGGUCACCACCCUCAGCCCUCCCCACCCCAUAUUGUCCCUUUGCAAAGCAGCGGAAGCUCUUCCAGGCUAAAGGAGUGUUGUAUACAUCUGAGCAGGCUACGUACUUACUGUUCAAAAGGAAUCUUCGGAAGGUCUGUUAGAGCUUGACAUCAGGGGCUUAGGUGUACAAAAGUCCCAGGCUGGAAAGAUGGGUGACAGUAGGCAAAGGUGGUCUUCCAGUGGGUCUCGGUCCAAGGACUUCAGGCUAUGUCCCCAGUGGCGUCGUGGCUCUGGACCCUGAUGAGGGAAGGCGUGAUGGCAGGUUUGUAGGUGAGUGGGGAGGGGUGGCCUGGAGACAGACCGCAGCCUAGUUGAGGCACAGGAAGAGAGCUGUGACGUCUGGCAUUCCCGCGAAGCUUGGUGUCCCACGUCUGUUCUGGCCCCACCGCUGUCUGUGCCAUAUUUGUGCUACUGGGUCGCUACGGGGUCGGUUGCUCAGGGUGGCCCUACCACUGCCCUAUCCUGCUGGGCCUCUGAGUUCCUGCCUUAAGACUACUUCUCAUCCCUUCCUGUUGGCCGUGUGCUCGUGCAUUCCCUCCUUGCCUCCCCGAGUCCUCUGGACCCGGGCCUGCGUGGGGUGUGGGGUGUGCAGGUGGGAACCUUGUCUAGCCCGUUGCAAACAAACCAGGGGCAGCACACUCUGCGGAACCCAGAGGACCCCCAGUAGAACCUUGGGCCAAGGUUCCGCGGGGCUGGACGUUGGGGGGAAGAUCUUGUCAGGACAGAAUUUGAUUAUACAUCUAACAGCACCCCCAAAAGGCACUAGUCAGGAUCUUUCCAUGACACCCAUUUAUCUUGGAAAACAGAAGCCCGGUGACUCUGCGCGUUGGAUGGAAUAAGGCACCAGGCGGCCAAAUCAUCCGUCAGCAGGCUGGGCCCUGUGCGCACCCCUGUCCGGUCCUCGCCGCUAGGUGGCGCCGCAGGUGCGCGUGAGUUCCAUCCCUGGUUCCCAGUCUCAGGACCCCUUAACUAUCUUCAACGUUGUUGAACUUCUGUCAUGUGGUGCUGUAUAGGGAGGGGCAUAUACUGUGUUAGAAGUGGAAACAAAUUUGUUGCGCAUACUUUUUUUUUUUUUUUUUUUUUUACUUAAACAAUGAUAGGAGCACCUGGGCGGCUCAGUUGGUUAAGUGUCUGACUUCAGCUCAGGUCAUGGUCUCAAGGUUCCCAAGUUUGAGUCUCACAUCGGGCUCUGCACUGACAGUGCGGAGCCUGCCUGGUAUUCUCCCCCUCUCUCUAUCUGUAAAUAAAUAAAUAAACUUAAAACAAAAAACGAUAAUAAAACCCACUACACACGAGCACUCCUUUUUAAGAAAAAGCAGUAUUUUACCCAAAUUUACAGGUAUGUUUUACAUUUAGGCCGAUCCCUUGAAGGCAGAGCUGUGCUCUCCACUCUCCUUUUGCCCUCGUCCCUACCAACAUCACCAUCGGGUAGCCUCUGGAGCGCGCUGCUGGGCCCUUUCAAGAGAACAGGUGUGAAAGGCCGUUCUUGGGGCGCUCGGUGGCUCAGUGAGACAUCUGACUUUGGCUCAGCUCAUGACCUGGCUGUUCGUGAGUUUGAGCCCCGCAGAGCCCCACACAGGGCUCUUUGCAGGCAGCGCAGAUCCCACUUGGGAUCCUCUGUCCCUUUGUCUCUCUGCCCUUCCCUCACUCAUGCUGUUUCUCUCAAGAAUAAAUAAACUUUAAAAAAAAACCAGGCAAGUUCUUAGCAGUCCCCACAGCCCUGCAACUACCUCGACAAGCAGACACAGCUGUCAGCUGCCUCGUGUCCUUUUUGGUAUUCUGUCUACAUUGAUUUGCUGCAUUUUCAUUUUAUUUAUUUAUUUUAUUUCCUUUUAUUUAUUUUUUUUGUUAAAGAGCGGGAGGACCAGACGUAAAAUAUUUAAUAUGCUUUUAUGGGGAGAAAUGAACUUGCAGCAGUCUGAUUUAUAAUCAAGGUUACUCUGCACAUUCAGGAGCUGCCCCUUUCACUCCUGCCGAGGCCCGGAUUAUUUGAGAUUCCCAGAAGUCACCGUCUCAAGAAACCCCGAGAAGGAUGGCAAUGCUUUGGUGGGGGAGCCGCCUGGAGCCCCAUGGCCGUCUGGAUCUGACACAUCGCUGCUUCUGGUGACACCUGCUUUGUGGUGAAGGUUGCUUCCUGCUUUAAAAAAGUACGUCUGGCUCCAGUCACCCCUGAUGCGCCUUCAGCUGAGUAACAGUCUAGGCUCUUGGCUUUUGAUGUUCUCAGCGAGCUUCUGGACACAGGCUGAUGGACGGACGACAGCUUUACACACCUCUCUGCAGGACCCGCGGCUGAGGCAGCCGUGCGUGGAGCCGGCAAGAUGUGACUGCUGGUUCUAGCCGCUUCUGGUGAGAGCGUUUCUUGGCCCUUCACCCGUAGCUUCUUCCAGACCCUCGGCCUGGAGCCCCCGCGUUGUGACAUCGUCUAGCAUUUAAAGCAGAGACAGAACCGACUCUGCUCCCCAGGAAUUGAACUUUUGUGGUUUGUCUUCAGAAAAGCAAACCACAUGCUGAGUUGGACUCACGUGGACUGCUUUAGCUGUGGGUGAAUAGCCAGAGCUUCCCCCCUUCCUUCUUCCCCCGUGGGGGCUGGCGGAGCUUUUGCUGUACGUGACCCAGGCCACCCCAUUUUACUCCCGAAGAGCUCAGAGUUGUCUGUGUCAAAAACAGAGAAGUAAGGGAAAGAGGAGCAGGACGGCUCCCUGCUAACCAGGCACCCGUGAGCCUUCCGGGCCCUGGGAGGUAGGCUCGCAAGUGUUCUGGUGUCUCGGGGACCGGUCUGGUGUUUAUUGUGGAGAAAGACUGCCGGGUCCGCACUGUGGUGUUGUCCUUUCCUAGGCGUGUGGCUUUAGUUUCUGGAUGCCCCGGUUGCCUCAUUUGUGAACUGGGGUUAAUGAUCUCCACUCCCGAGCGUGCCAAGAUGAGAUACGGUAACAGACAGUUAGCUUAACCAUAGGUUGAUGGUUAGUGCCACAGAAGCGUCAGCCUGAGACGAUGCGAGUGGUGAUGUUGGUGACGACAGCGAUGCCGGUGGUGAUGAUGGGCCUCACAGCCUUGGCUGCACCCUGUCUGGGAGCUACUGCUAAUGGGCCAGGACCCAGCCUGAGGAUUCUGACCCCCACCUCUUAAGCCCAGAGGACCCGCUCUAGCUCUCUUCUUUCCGACCACUUGAGGAGAAUGUAUUCUUAUUCCAACUGGAAGAAACGCUGAUGCGUCGGGGCAGACCCUUCAACUUGUGUUACUGUCACAGCAACCGAUCAGGUGCCCUGAACACAACCGUGGUUUGGCUGAAAGAGUCAACUGUGGGGCGGCGGGGUGCUGGGCGUAGAGGAGAAGGGCAGCGGACACGAGCACAGUGCUUAUCUAAGCCGCUCAGUACCGUCCGUAUCACCAGGGCUCCAGGAAGCGAUUAGCUGAAUGGUUUCCGUCAGAGGAUGUUUUUGUGACCUCUCCUUGCUCAGGGCGGCCCGGACCGUGAGGCCCUGGCCUGGCUGGCGGAACACGGGAGGCUGUGGCAUAUCCGGCCCCCUCUCCUUCCUAAGCUCUGUCACUGGCUUCCUGGAGCGAGGACCCGACGUGGUCCCUCUCCUCUGCUCCACAGUGGGCUCCGGGCUGCCGUGGGGGCCACACUCUUCUCCUGGCUCCUUCUGCAUUGGGUGUUCUAAGCAUCCUCACUCGGGAGAUCGAGUGGCUCUUAAAAGAUCUGCCGUGGCCCGGUCUUAGAGGAAAGAACAGAGUCCACACAGCAGUGACUCCCGUUGGCCCAGGAGGACUGGUUAUAGCUGGGUGAUGGGGCGAGUGCGCCAUGGUUAGAGGCCUUGAAGGGAGCGGGAGAUGGCACUCCAAAACAUGCCACCUUGGCCUGAGGGUUAUUUUGAGCUGCAGAUAGUUGAGACUCAGACGCAGAAAGAAUCCUUGUCGGAGCCUCCCCUAUCUGACUACCAGAAGCAACUUCUGGGAAGUCAGGCUGCCACCAAGUCCUUCUGUAGGGCAGGUCUACUCCCACAGGAGAUCCCACGGGUGAACCUAUCCCAGGUCUCUUCUCCGGGGGUUUUAUGGCCCUGAAAGGGCCUAAGAGGCCACUCACACCUGUAGAGACAAGCGGUGUCACCAACUUCCUUACAUCUCACUUAUUCUCCUGAAACACAUUUGUCUUUCCUGCAGAAGUCUGUUUGUUCCAACUUUAAGAAGGAUCUUUCUCCCCUCCCCCUCUCCCCUACCAAGUUAGGUAUAUAAACACCUAACUGAAACUACUGAACCCACUGUUUGUCUUGGCUCCCGUGGGCGCGUGACUAACCUAUUUUCUUUUGUUAAUCCGUUGCUUGUCAGUUUAAUUCACAGGCCCCACGCACGUAACAUCAGAGGGGCUCCUGCAGCCUUCUUGACAGAGGCUCCCCAGCUCCGCCAGUCAUGGGGGUGGGGCGAGGGAAUGCGGGUGGAAGGGGGGUGGGGGAUGGGUGCUGGGACCGAGGACCCCUACACCCUCCAUCUGCCUUUCUUUCCCCCAUGUGUGACAUCACGCUCACAAAACUCAGCAGGAUGAGUGGAUAGAUCAAGAUCGCUCAUCGUGUCCUUGGCAGACAUUGUCACGUUGUGAAGGCAGAGAACUGAAGGAACACGGAGCCCACAGCGCGGGGAGCGGCAGGGCUGGUGGCACGACCUUGAAGCGGGAGAAGGCGUCUUUUGCGUUCGGGACUUGUCACUAUUUUAAGCAUCAUGGUGACAUCUGGUAUCGCUUACAUGUUGUCUCUUUCAAGCGGUAACCAUUUUUCCCUCUGAAUGCAGGCAGCGUCUGGUUCCGAAGGCCUUUUCCAGAAUUUCUGGUUGCCACGGGCUUUCGUUUGGAUGGUUUGGACGGGUUCCGUCACUCUGGCUCAAGCCGUCCGCCUGGUCUCUGGGUCACUGCUUACGCUCUGUGCUAGCUGGGAUCCCUUUCAUCCAGAUCUACUGGAUGAUAACGUCCCUUGAUCCAAGAUCCUUAACUAGGGAUCACCCAGGAGAGAGGCAAAAAGCUGAGCCGGCCCCUCCUGCCUGUUUCCAAGCAGUGAGCGAGGCUGCUGCGCCAUGUCCGGCCCAUCGUCCUGCAGGGUGGGCUGUGCCGGCAGGCCCUGCGAGCCUCCCCACCGAGCACCGGGGACCCCCCUGCGCCCAGACCAUGGGACGCCCAGAGCCUCCUACGUUCGGGGGCUCGAGAAAGACCAGCGGAAACAAAAGGCCCACUUUAAAAAACGCACAAAGGGCUUAACGGACAUUUCCCGAAAGGAGAGACACAGACGGCCAGCGGGCCCCCGAAAAAAACUCCUCGCAGAAUGUGGGUCACAGCCACCCCGAGGUACCGUUUCACACCCACUGUGGUGAUGACAAGAAAACGCGAAAUAACGAGUUCUGGCGGGACGGGAAACGGCGCGGCCGCUGUGGAAAACGGCGUGGUGGUUCCUCAGCAGGUGGAACGUGGAGUCACCGUAUGGCCCGCCAUCCCGCUCCCGGGUGCACGUCCAAGGCCAGCGAGAGCAGGGGUCUGAACGGAUCGCCGUACGCCCAGGCUCGUAGCAGGUCUAUUCACAGCAGCCAAAGCUUCAGACGACCUGAGUGUCUCUAGACGGACAGAUGGCUGGGCACACGUGCCCUGUCCACGCAGGGGAGGGGAGAGGGUGGCUGUGGAGGCGGAGCCCAGGACCGGCCUUUCUCCGCAAGGUCUCCGGGGCCAAGAGCUGCCAGCUGGCGUCUCGGAGGAGACCCCCCCCCUCCCCCCAGGCCAGGAGGAGGCUCGGGGGCAUAAACACAAGCACGUCUUGGCCUCGUGUUCAGUGACAGGGUGUUCAGGGAGCCGCAGGACAGUCUGAAGGCUUCACACGAGGCAGUUCUCCGGGCAGGAUGCGGGGCUGCUGGGGCCCUUCCCAGCAGGAUCCCCGGAGAACUCCAAGUUCGGUCUCUACAUUUUCAUUAAGAGCUUCCACCCGGGGAGAAUGAUGGAUUAGAUUUUGCUGUUGGAAAGAAGCCAGAUAAAAUUAGAUGCCUCUUGGCUCCCCACCACCCACCCCUUGCCCCUGUUCUUUUCUGAAAGCUUUACUUUUCUCUCUCGGUUCCUGGCAGGAAGGAACCGAGCGGGUACGGUCGCUUCCUUGAGCCUCCCUGCUUUAAUUUCAAGUGUGAUUUCGCUGUUGCUCUAAUUUUCUUCUGUUCUGGAACAGCUUUGGGCCUUGGGCUCUGCAUUGGGGGUGUGUGUGCGCGUGUGGUUUCUGUUUUCUUUUCAGUAACCUUGUUAGAAUUUAUAGCUGGAAACGGAGAGAAUACUCUGCCUCACAAAAGAAAUUCAUCUGAUUCCUCACGUCUUGUUUCUUCUCUCCAAGUUCUCGUUCUUGGCCAAGCUAACCUGCCGUCUCAUCCACCUAAAUAGAAUCGGGUUUGCCUCCCAGCCAGCCACUUUGUAGCAAAGCCGGGUUCUGACGGUCUGCUGUCUUCUGUUACCGUGCGCCGACAGUGGAUUUCAAGAAGAGCUGUUGUGUUUUCCCAGUGCAGGAAAGGAAACACUAGGGUUCCAUCUGUCCAGAGGAGCUGAGAGCGCAUGGUUGGCAAACCUCCAGGGACAGACUGUGAGGCGGUCGCAGGUUGCAGAGGGCGCCGGAGCCGGGCGUGGGUGCCAUUCACGUGGGUGUUGUUUUCUUGAAGUCGAACCCUGUGGAAUUCAGCAGAGACCUCGAGUGGAUUCGAACAGCCUCAGCCCCCACGUCCCGGGUCUGAAAUCAACCGUGUGGGAGGAGCUGCCCCGGCAGAGCUGCGUGCCCGCCGUGCAGCCGCGUACCUGCUCCCGCACCCUGACCAGAACAUUCCCCUUGUGUGUGCAGGCAGCCCACGCUCAGGGGCACGCCACGGUCCAAAGGGCCGGUCAUCCGGAACCCGGCGUUCCCAGCGACGAGAGCCUCACGGGUCUCUCCAGGCCUUUUUCUGGGCCUCCAGCGUGGACAUGGCAGACACACAGAUGCACAGACACGGCCCGAGAGGGUCUUCCUUCCAGCCCUGCCCUGAGUUCCUGCGCUGUCCCGCAGGGGCACCCCGGGCAGCCGAAAGCAGCUUAAUGGACAGUUUUGUUGGUUUGGUGAUGCCAUCUCAUGACGACAUUACCCAAAUCCCUUGGAACAUUUUUGGGACUGUGGAUUCAGGGGCCUGGACCAAGGGACUCGGCAAGGGAGGUGUGAUCUGCCUGCUGCCCCUUGGGCUCGGGACCGGACCUCAGAGCCACCGUCGGGUCACAGCGGCCAUUCCCAUGGCUGUGCUGGUGCCCCCUGGGCCAGUGGUGGCCGUGUGCGAUUUUGUCAGUCGUUUCCCUCUUUAAAAAAGAUUUGUUUUUAAUCUUUGAGAGAGAGACAGAGUGUGAGCAGGGGAGGGGCAGAGAGAGGGGGAGACACAGAAUCCAAGGCAGGCUCCAGGCCCCGAGCUGUCAGCCCUGAGCCCAAUGCGGGGCUCGAACCCACGAACUGUGAGAUCAUGACCUGAGCCAAAGUCGGACACCGAACCGACUGAGCCACCCAGGCGCCCCUGGUCGGUCGUUUCUGACUCGCCAUUGGUGCCGGCUGUAGCGAGGAGGAGCCGGGGUGCCCGCCACGUGCCGCUGGACACCGUGGCCUCUGUGCCCCGGAAGUGUGGCUGGCCCGCAGCGAGGGGCUUCGGGGCGGAGACCCACCCGACGGGGAGACUUGGCACAGAUCGCGAGACGGCAGGUGAAUAACGUGCUAUAUGCGUUACGUGGCCGGGUGGUAGUGUUUUAGACCGAUCCAGUUAAGUGUAUCAUUCACAUUAACUCUGUUUCCGUUUCCUUUUACGAUAUGGGCAGCUCCUGGAAAACUUAACAGCUGAGGGGCGCUCGGCUGGCUCUGUCGGAGGAUCGUGUGGCUUUUGAUCUCGGGGUUGUGAGUUCCAGCCCCACGCUGGGUGUAGAGAUUAUUAUUAAAAAAAAUUUUUUUUAAUGUUUUUAUUUAUUUUUGAGACAGAGGGAGACAGAGUGUGA
Felis catus (domestic cat) is the source of this 8292-nucleotide long non-coding RNA. RefSeq lists it as uncharacterized. The transcript is spliced from 3 exons. Lineage: Eukaryota; Metazoa; Chordata; Mammalia; Carnivora; Felidae. The record is from RefSeq and is a predicted model, not a curated record.